UGUAUGAAGUUGGAAUCGCUAGUAAUCGCGGAUCAGCAUGCCGCGGUGAAUACGUUCCCGGGCCUUGUACACACCGCCCGUCACACCAUGAGAGUCGGGAACACCCGAAGUCCGUAGCCUAACCGCAAGGGGGGCGCGGCCGAAGGUGGGUUCGAUAAUUGGGGUGAAGUCGUAACAAGGUAGC
This 184-nucleotide ribosomal RNA is filed under the name uncultured bacterium. RNAcentral describes it as "partial 16S ribosomal RNA". It matches the Rfam family "Bacterial small subunit ribosomal RNA", at positions 1317 to 1500 of the family's 1533-position model. The record is from RNAcentral.